GCUGGGCGAGGUGGUGCACGCCUGUAAUCCCAGCACCUGGGGAGGCUGAGGCAGGAGGAUCUCAAGUUUGAGGCCAGCCUCAGCAACUUAGCAAGAUCUUAUCUCAA
RNAcentral lists this small RNA (107 nucleotides) under Marmota monax (woodchuck). Lineage: Eukaryota; Metazoa; Chordata; Mammalia; Rodentia; Sciuridae. The record is from RNAcentral.